UAGGGAAUCUUCGGCAAUGGACGAAAGUCUGACCGAGCAACGCCGCGUGUGUGAAGAAGGUUUUCGGAUCGUAAAACUCUGUUGUUAGAGAAGAACAAGGACGUUAGUAACUGAACGUCCCCUGACGGUAUCUAACCAGAAAGCCACGGCUAACUACGUGCCAGCAGCCGCGGUAAUACGUAGGUGGCAAGCGUUGUCCGGAUUUAUUGGGCGUAAAGCGAGCGCAGGCGGUUUCUUAAGUCUGAUGUGAAAGCCCCCGGCUCAACCGGGGAGGGUCAUUGGAAACUGGGAGACUUGAGUGCAGAAGAGGGGAGUGGAAGUCCAUGUGUAGCGGUGAAAUGCGUAGAUAUAUGGAGGAAAACCAGUGGCGAAGGCGGCUCUCUGGUCUGUAACUGACGCUGAGGCUCGAAAGCGUGGGGAGCAAACAGG
Molecule: ribosomal RNA, 429 nt
Filed under: Gemmatimonadota bacterium
Lineage: Bacteria; Pseudomonadati; Gemmatimonadota
Description: Gemmatimonadetes bacterium partial 16S ribosomal RNA
Rfam family: Bacterial small subunit ribosomal RNA
Source: RNAcentral